This 490-nucleotide ribosomal RNA is filed under the name uncultured bacterium. RNAcentral's name for it is "partial 16S ribosomal RNA". It matches the Rfam family "Bacterial small subunit ribosomal RNA", at positions 30 to 507 of the family's 1533-position model. The record is from RNAcentral.
AUUGAACGCUGGCGGCAGGCCUAACACAUGCAAGUCGAACGGUAACAGGAAGAAGCUUGCUUCUUUGCUGACGAGUGGCGGACGGGUGAGUAAUGUCUGGGAAACUGCCUGAUGGAGGGGGAUAACUACUGGAAACGGUAGCUAAUACCUCAUAACGUCGCAAGACCAAAGAGUGGGACCUUCGUGCCUCUUGCCAUCUGCUGUGCCCAGAUGGGAUUAGCUAGUAGGUGGGGUAACGGCUCACCUAGGCGACGAUCCCUAGCUGGUCUGAGAGGGUGACCAGCCACACUGGAACUGAGACACGGUCCAGACUCCUACGGGAGGCAGCAGUGGGGAAUAUUGCACAAUGGGCGCAAGCCUGAUGCAGACAUGCCGCGUGUAUGAAGAAGGCCUUCAGGUUGUAAAGUACGUUCAGCGGGGAGGAAGGGAGUAAAGUUAAUACCUUUACUCAUUGACGUUACCCGCAGAAGAAGCACCGGCUAACUACGUG